Molecule: transfer RNA, 72 nt
Filed under: Perca flavescens (yellow perch)
Lineage: Eukaryota; Metazoa; Chordata; Actinopteri; Perciformes; Percidae
Rfam family: tRNA
About the family: Transfer RNA (tRNA) molecules are approximately 80 nucleotides in length. Their secondary structure includes four short double-helical elements and three loops (D, anti-codon, and T loops).
Source: Rfam by way of RNAcentral
GCCGAAAUAGCUCAGUUGGGAGAGCGUCAGACUGAAGAUCUGAAGGUCCCUGGUUCAAUCCCGGUUUUGGCA